AUACGGAGGGUGCAAGCGUUAUCCGGAUUCAUUGGGUUUAAAGGGUACGUAGGCGGAUAGAUAAGUUAGUGGUGAAAUCCCGAAGCUCAACUUCGGAACUGCCAUUAAAACUGUCUAUCUUGAAUUUGGUUGAAGUGGGCGGAAUAUGACAUGUAGCGGUGAAAUGCAUAGAUAUGUCAUGGAACACCGAUAGUGAAGACAGCUCACUAAGCCAAUAUUGACGCUGAGGUACGAAAGCGUGGGGAGCGAACAGGAUUAGAAACCCUAGUAGUCC
Molecule: ribosomal RNA, 274 nt
Filed under: uncultured bacterium
Lineage: Bacteria
Description: partial 16S ribosomal RNA
Rfam family: Bacterial small subunit ribosomal RNA
Source: RNAcentral